UAACGUCUUGUGGUGCACCGGGAGUUC
This 27-nucleotide small RNA is filed under the name Bombyx mori (domestic silkworm). RNAcentral's name for it is "ovarian small RNA-18909". Lineage: Eukaryota; Metazoa; Arthropoda; Insecta; Lepidoptera; Bombycidae. The record is from RNAcentral.